Molecule: unclassified non-coding RNA, 240 nt
Filed under: soil metagenome
Description: partial contains 5.8S ribosomal RNA, internal transcribed spacer 2, and large subunit ribosomal RNA
Source: RNAcentral
AACGGUCUAUACCUGCGGUACCUGCGGAAGGAUCAUUAUAGAGUGGUAAACCUCCCGUAAAAGGGGGGGACCUCCUGUCCUUUGUAGGCUCUUUUUUAAAAGGGCUUUUUUUAAUUUUCUGCUUCGGUGGGGUUAUCCCACCGGAACAACCUCAAAACUCUCAUCACAAAAUCGUUCUGUCUGAGAACCUUUUAUAAUAAAAAAAAACUUUUAACAACGGAUCUCUAGAUCGGAAGAGCA